GAUGAACGCUAGCGGCAGGCCUAACACAUGCAAGUCGAGGGGAAGCAGGAUUAAGCUUGCUUAAUUGCUGACGACCGGCGCACGGGUGCGUAACGCGUAUGCAACCUACCUUAUACUGGGGUAUAGCCCGGAGAAAUUCGGAUUAAUCCCCCCUAGUACUAAUGAAUCGCAUGGUUUAUUAGUUAAAGCAUUGCGGUAUAAGAUGGGCAUGCGUCCUAUUAGCUAGAUGGUGAGGUAACGGCUCACCAUGGCUACGAUAGGUAGGGGGCCUGGGAGGGUGGUCCCCCACACUGGUACUGAGACACGGACCAGACUCCUACGGGAGGCAGCAGUGAGGAAUAUUGGUCAAUGGGCGCAAGCCUGAACCAGCCAUGCCGCGUGCAGGAAGAAUGCCCCAUGGGUUGUAAACUGCUUUUAUUUGGGAAUAAACCUCUUUACGUGUAGAGAGCUGAAGGUACCAAAUGAAUAAGCACCGGCUAACUCCGUGCCAGCCGCCGCGGUAA
Molecule: ribosomal RNA, 503 nt
Filed under: uncultured bacterium
Lineage: Bacteria
Description: partial 16S ribosomal RNA
Rfam family: Bacterial small subunit ribosomal RNA
Source: RNAcentral